AUUGAACGCUGGCGGCAGGCCUAACACAUGCAAGUCGAGUGGAUGAAGGGAGCUUGCUCCUGGAUUCAGCGGCGGACGGGUGAGUAAUGCCUAGGAAUCUGCCUGGUAGUGGGGGAUAACGUCCGGAAACGGGCGCUAAUACCGCAUACGUCCUGAGGGAGAAAGUGGGGGAUCUUCGGACCUCACGCUAUCAGAUGAGCCUAGGUCGGAUUAGCUAGUUGGUGGGGUAAAGGCCUACCAAGGCGACGAUCCGUAACUGGUCUGAGAGGAUGAUCAGUCACACUGGAACUGAGACACGGUCCAGACUCCUACGGGAGGCAGCAGUGGGGAAUAUUGGUCAAUGGGCGAAAGCCUGAUCCAGCCAUGCCGCGUGUGUGAAGAAGGUCUUCGGAUUGUAAAGCACUUUAAGUUGGGAGGAAGGGCAGUAAGUUAAUACCUUGCUGUUUUGACGUUACCAACAGAAUAAGCACCGGCUAACUUCGUG
RNAcentral lists this ribosomal RNA (484 nucleotides) under uncultured bacterium. Its description in RNAcentral is "partial 16S ribosomal RNA". It matches the Rfam family "Bacterial small subunit ribosomal RNA", at positions 30 to 507 of the family's 1533-position model. The record is from RNAcentral.